AGCUUAACAGCUAGUCCACCUAACCAAAACAAAACUUUCCAACAUAUCAAUACCCCCUAAUACACACAAACAUUACUAAACAAAACAUUUUUCCCCUUCAGUAUAGGCGAUAGAAAAAGAACCCAGGAACGACAGAAGAAGUACCGUAAGGGAAUGCUGAAAGACUCAUGAAACAGGACAACAAGCCUAAAAAAGCAGAGAUUUAAGCUCGUACCUUUUGCAUCAUGAUAUAGCUAGAAAACCUCGAGCAAAGAGCACUUUAGUUCGACUCCCCGAAACUAAGUGAGCUACUCCAAAACAGCCUAUCUAGGGCAAACCCGUCUCUGUGGCAAAAGAGUGGGAAGAAUUUUGAGUAGCGGUGACAGACCUAUCGAACUUAGUUAUAGCUGGUUGCCUGAGAAAUGAAUAGGAGUUCAGCCUAUUGGCUUCUUCACUCUCUUCCCUUCCUCAUCCCCUCUUCGGACGCCCAGAGAAACCAAUAGAGUUAAUCAAAGGGGGAACAGCUCCUUUGAUAUAAGACACAACUUUUGCAGGAGGAUAAAGAUCACAGUUAAACAAGGCAAAAAACUCAAGUGGGCUUAAGAGCAGCCAUCCUUAUAGAAAGCGUUAAAGCUCGAACUAAUUGUGCCGCCUCAUAAUUCCGAUAAUUUAAUUUUAAUCCCCUAACUUUACCAGGCCUCUCUAUGCAAACAUAGAAGAGAUCAUGCUAGAAUGAGUAAUAAGAGAGUUAUUUGACUUUCUCCUAUCACAAGUGUAAAUCGAAAUGGACCCACCACCGAAAAUUAACGGCCCCAAACAAAGAGGGUAUUGGACUACAACCUGAUACAUCUAGAAAAUCCCCCAAUAAAACACCGUUACCCCUACACUGGUGUGAUUUCAAGGAAAGACUAAAAGAAGAAGAAGGAACUCGGCAAAUUAAGGCCUCGCCUGUUUACCAAAAACAUCGCCUCUUGCAAAAUCAACGAAUAAGAGGUCUCGCCUGCCCUGUGACUAUAUGUUUAACGGCCGCGGUAUUUUGACCGUGCGAAGGUAGCGCAAUCACUUGUCUUUUAAAUGGGGACCUGUAUGAAUGGCAUAACGAGGGCCUAACUGUCUCCUUUUUCAAGUCAAUGAAAUUGAUCUUCCCGUGCAGAAGCGGAAAUAGCCCCAUAAGACGAGAAGACCCUAUGGAGCUUUAGACAAAAGUAGACCAUGUUAAACACCCUCGAAUAAGAGACCAAACUUAAUGCUUGCUGCCCUAAUGUCUUUGGUUGGGGUGACCGCGGCGAAACAAAUAACCCCCGUGUAGAAAGAGAGCUCCGUCUCUCCAAAUUAAGAGCUCCCGCUCAAACAAACAGAACAUCUGACUAAAUAAGAUCCGGCAACGCCGAUCAACGGACCGAGUUACCCUAGGGAUAACAGCGCAAUCCUCUUCUAGAGCCCAUAUCGACAAGAGGGUUUACGACCUCGAUGUUGGAUCAGGACAUCCUAAUGGUGCAGCCGCUAUUAAGGGUUCGUUUGUUCAACGAUUAAAGUCCUACGUGAUCUGAGUUCAGACCGGAGCAAUCCAGGUCAGUUUCUAUCUAUGACAUACUUUUUUCUAGUACGAAAGGACCGAAAAGAGGGGGCCCAUACUUCCAGCACGCCUCUCCCUUACCUUAUGAAAUUAACUAAAAUAGACAAAAGGGCAUACACCCCUAACUGAGAAAACGUUAU
RNAcentral lists this ribosomal RNA (1695 nucleotides) under Chaetodon octofasciatus (eightband butterflyfish). RNAcentral describes it as "16S ribosomal RNA". The stretch from base 101 to 1616 matches the Rfam family "Bacterial large subunit ribosomal RNA". Lineage: Eukaryota; Metazoa; Chordata; Actinopteri; Chaetodontiformes; Chaetodontidae. The record is from RNAcentral.